AAGUCGUAACAAGGUUUCCGUAGGUGAACCUGCGGAAGGAUCAUUAACACGUUUCUACGUUUAAUUCUCCAACACCCCCCUCUGGUAACAUGUGAUCUCGCAUAGCUAUGUAUAUAGUUAUGUUUUCUUGAUCCACCUUUUUUUUCACCCCUUUCAUUGACUCACCCUACCAACCCCAAGUGGCCUGAUACACACCUGGUCUGGAAGAAGAAAUUUUUCUCGACCGAACCAUAUGGAUUCAUCCAAAUGAGUUUUAUUCGUACAACUCUUAGCAAUGGAUAUCUUGGUUCUC
This 292-nucleotide unclassified non-coding RNA is filed under the name fungal sp. Its description in RNAcentral is "partial internal transcribed spacer region". The stretch from base 1 to 46 matches the Rfam family "Eukaryotic small subunit ribosomal RNA", at positions 1786 to 1831 of the family's 1831-position model. The record is from RNAcentral. Lineage: Eukaryota; Fungi.